This 4344-nucleotide long non-coding RNA is filed under the name Salmo salar (Atlantic salmon). Its description in RNAcentral is "lncRNA (ENSSSAG00000117689.1)". Lineage: Eukaryota; Metazoa; Chordata; Actinopteri; Salmoniformes; Salmonidae. The record is from RNAcentral.
GUAUUCUUUCACACUAGCUGGCCUUAUGUUAUCUGCAGUUUCGAGGUGCACUGUCACACUCUGUGGUGGAUAACAUCCACUCUUCGUUUAUGUAAUGGGCUGUAAGACACAGGUAUCCUAUUUUUCGAAAAUCGUCAGUCCACAUGUCAAGUGUAAUUGCGCCAUUGCAUCAACCCCUACAAAUAUAUUCUAAUGUAUUAUAAUGCACAUAAUAAUUCAAAUAAAAUUUGCUGUAGCUAUAGGAGAGAGACUGCAUGCUAAAGACAAAUAGAAAUAAUGUGUCUUUAAGACUGCAUUAUAUGACUUAUGAAUGAGUCACUCAGCCCUAUGCUUCUGUUCCUGCUUCUGUUGCCUAUUUGAGUGUUUGUUUAAUAUCCUACUGAUUCUGUGGUCACCAAGCCCCAUGCAACCGUAAAAUGUUGGAUAAAGAACUUUCACAAAUCCGUCUGUUUUUAAACUUUGCUAUGCUGUAUUAAAGGCUUUGCGAUGUUUUUCAUUAGAACAGACUCUAUGCUAUUACUUCUACUUUAGUGUUAUUUACACUGUUCCAAACUGGCAGAUAGAUUACAAUAUAAUUUAACAGCACUUGCUUGUCAUGCAACAAUGAUUGUCUCUUGCACAAUGAUUUUACAUGAGGCCUAAUUCACAUGAUAUGCCUAAAAUACUUAUAUCCCCUAGGCUAAUAAAUAAAUCAUAUUUUUCCUUUCAAUUGUUUAAUUGCUCUAUAUCAUGAUAUUUCAAGUUUUCCCUUUGGAGCACAUGCAAAAGCGAUUUGGAGUUGUUGAGCGGGAGUGACAAAAUGUAUUACAAUUCCGUGCGCACACUCCAAAAAAUGUUUUUGUUUUUUCUACUUAGUCAGAAGAAGCUGUAAAUGGACCAUGUAACACGCAUAUAGACGCACAUACAAUAUUUGUUCAUCAACAUCUUUAUGUUUUCGUUAAUAAAAUAACGAUAAAAAAACACUUCCAAAUGUAGAUGUUUAUUUAAACUACUUCCCGCAAGCUCCACGACCACAGGUGAAGUACUCAGAAAAAACACCACUGAUCUCGAAAAGAGGCGUAACAUUCUGAGAAAUUCACAAUUCAGGGCAAUCAUAUCUACCUACGGGGGAAGGAUGGCCAGACACACAGGACGGUGAUUUCUACUAAGGAGGAGAGGAGGCCGUGCUGACCGAGAUGCAUGCUGGCCAUUUCGCAGUGAAGCGCAUGAUUGCCAAAAUCAACCUACGCUUCUUCUGACGGGGAAUUGUCAAGAAGGUGGACAGCUGGGCAAGUGAAAUAACCUUUUGUUUAUCAAUCACAGGGUUCAAUUCUCGGGCCGACUUUCUUCUCUGUAUACAUCAAUGAUGUCGCUCUUGCUGUUGGUGAUUCUCUGAUCCACCUCUACGCAGAUGACACCAUUCUGUAUACUUCUGGCUCUUCUUUGGACACUGUUAUCUAACCUCCAGACGAGCUUCAAUGCCAUACAACUCUCCUUCCGUGGCCUCCAACUGCUCUUAAAUGCAAGUAAAACUAAAUGCAUACUCUUCAACCGAUCGCUGCCCGCACCUGCCCGCCCGUCCAGCAUCACUACUCUGGACGGUUCUGACUUAGAAUAUGUGGACAACUACAAAUACCUAGGUGUCUGGUUAGACUGUAAACUCUCCUUCCAGACUCACAUUAAGCAUCUCCAAUUCAAAAUUAAAUCUAAAAUUGGCUUCCUAUUUUGCAACAAAGCAUCCUUCAUUCAUGCUGCCAAACAUACCCUUGUAAAACUGACCAUCCUAUCCAUCCUCGAUUUCGGCGAUGACAUUUACAAGAUAGCCUCCAACACUCUAUUCAACAAACUGGAUGCGGUCUAUCACAGUGCCAUCCAUUUUGUCACCAAAGCCCCAUAUACUACCCACCACUGCGACCUGUACGCUCUCGUUGGCUGGCCCUUGCUUCAUACUCGUCGCCAAACCCACUGGCUACAGGUCAUCUACAAGUCUUUGCUAGGUAAAGCCCCGCCUUAUCUCAGCUCACUGGUCACCAUAGCAGCACCCACCCGUAGCACACUCUCCAGCAGGUAUAUUUCACUGGUCACCUCCAAAGCCAAUUCCUCCGUUGGCCGCCUUUCUUUCCAGUUCUCUGCUGCCAAUGACUGGAACGAACUGCAAAAAUCACUGAAGCUGGAGACUCAUCUCCCUCACUAGCUUUAAGCACCAGCUGUCAGAGCAGCUCACAGAUCACUGCACCUGUACAUAGCCCAUCUGUAAAUAGCACAGCAUAGCCCAAUAUCAUACUGUAUUUAUUUAUUUAUUUAUCUUGCUCCUUUGCACCCCAGUAUCUCUACUUGCACAUUCAUCUUUUGCACAUCUAUCACUCCAGUGUUUAAUUGCUAUAUUGUAAUUACUUCGCCACCAUGGCCUAUUUAUUGCCUUACCUCCCUUACCUCAUUUGCACACACUGUAUAUAGACUUUUUCUACUGUAUUAUUGACUGUAUUUUUGUUUAUUCCAUGUGUAACUCUGUUGUAUGUGUCGAACUGCUUUGCUUUAUCUUGGCCAGGUCGCAGUUGUAAAUGAGAACUUGUUCUCAACUAGCCCACCUUGUUAAAUGAAGAUCAGUACACUGUGUAGCCUGCCAGAAGUUUGAGAGGGCGAAGACUGUGGCGCCGGAGUUGAAGCCCAUCAAAGUUGUUUCACCAUGGCACAUGAUCGGAAUGGCAACAGCUGGUGUCUGACGGUGACCGAUCACUUUACCAAGUGGGUGGAGGCAAUACCCAUUAAGAUCAGUAAAGGAAGAGACGAGACUGGCAAGGCCACCUCCAAGGCGAUGGUGGACAUCUGCAACACACAUGGUUCUCCUGAGGUCAUCUUGAGUGACCGAGGUCAUGAGCGCUGGAACAAGGUUUGGUGAAUGGACCAUCCAGACCCUCAAGGCUGCCAUGGACAAGUCCCUUGAUUGGUACCUGGAAGAGUGGGAGAAAAACCUGAAAGUAAUUCUCUUUGCACACAACAGCAGCAUCCAGGCCUCCACAAACAAAGAUAACUGAAACCCCACUUGAUGUGAUGGAAGUUGUCGAACCAGAUCUGAAUGCCUUCGAGGUCCAGUUCAGGCAUGGACUGAGAAGGAUGUGGUUUUUGACCAGGUGAGACUGAACAUGGACAAGGCGCAGGAAAAACAGAAGGAGAGCUACCGAAGCAGAAUCAAGAAGGGGACCAAGUGCUACGACAUCCGGGCAAUUUACUUGGCUUGGAAGAAGGACGAAAGGAAGGCGAGACCUGGGAAACCUCGCUGUUUUUUCGCUCCUAGCUGGGGUCACCAUCUGUUAAAGGUUACCUCAGCGGAAGUCAACAAUCUUCUACAGUUGGAGCAGUUUGACGGUCGACCACUGAAAGCAGUGACGCCCUACACUUCAGUGAAGCCCAAUAGACAAAGACCAUCGACUGUCCGAGCCCCCCCAGGAGGUAUCCCAUCCACCAGAACCAGUGAGUCCGGAUCAGUCUGAUUCUCUGUGCGCUGAGUCGGAGGGGGACCAGCUUGAGGAGCUGGAGGUUCUGCCCAACACCCAGACAUGGAUCCACCUGAUGUCCUCCAUUACCAACCACCCUCCAACUUUUCAUUAAAUAUUCUACAGCUACUGAUGUUGUCAUUAUCUGCUAAGAAAGUGAGAUAAUAUAUGAGAUAAAUCAAAUCGUAUUGGUCACAUACACGUGUUUAGCAGAUGUUAUUGAGGGUGUAGUGAAAUGCCUGAGUUUCUAGCUCCGACAGUGCAGUAAUAUCUAACAAGUAACAUCUAACAAUUUCACAACAUAUACACACAAAUCUAAGUAAAGGAAUGGAAUUAAGAAUAUAUAAAUGUAUGGAUGAGCAAUGUCAGUGGCAUAGACUAAGAUUCAGUAGAAUGGUAUAGAAUACAGUAUAUACAUAUGAGAUGGGUAAUGCAAGAUAUGUAAACAUUACAUUUUACAUUUUACAUUUAAGUCAUUUAGCAGACGCUCUUAUCCAGAGCGACUUACAAAAUGGUGCAUUCACCUUAUGAUAUCCAGUGGAACAACCACUUUACAAUAGUGCAUCUAAAUCUUUUAAGGGGGGGGGGUUAGAAGGAUUACUUUAUCCUAUCCUAGGUAUUCCUUAAAGAGGUGGGGUUUCAGGUGUCUCCGGAAGGUGGUGAUUGACUCCGCUGUCCUGGCGUCGUGAGGGAGCUUGUUCCACCAUUGGGGUGCCAGAGCAGCGAACAGUUUUGACUGGGCUGAGCGGGAACUGUGCUUCCUCAGAGGUAGCGGGGCCAGCAGGCCAGUGGUGGAUGAACGCAGUGCCCUUGUUUGGGUGUAGGGCCUGAUCAGAGCCUGAAGGUAUGGAGGUGCCGUUCCCUUCACAGC